This is an RNA transcript of Oncorhynchus keta (chum salmon), 7800 nucleotides long. It is a transcript of the gene named steroid transmembrane transporter SLC22A24-like, with no coding region annotated. The transcript is spliced from 10 exons. The record is from RefSeq and is a predicted model, not a curated record. Lineage: Eukaryota; Metazoa; Chordata; Actinopteri; Salmoniformes; Salmonidae.
GGAAGUCUAAUGCAGAGGACUGUGGGUUAGGUAUUUAUUCACCCCUGACCACUUUGUCGCGAUUUGUAAUGAUUAGUCUGCUUUUACAGUACUUAUUACGCUAACAAGACUUGACCAGAGUUCCAGGAUUUUACGGGUGUAACAGUCCCUUCAGCUCCGCUGUCUGGUGAGAUAUGCGCUGAGCGGAGAGAGAGAGAGUGAGUGAUAGAGAGAGUGAGUGAUAUAGGAGAGUCCUAUGGCUCCAUUGCAGCUCGCGGUGUACUUGCGGCUCGCUCUCAUAUUCUUCUUCACGGCGUUUCUUUUCUUCCUCGAUGUCUUCACUGUCAGCAGAGCAGCCUCCUCGUGCGCUAACGUCCCCAGUCAGUUACCGACCAAGAGUCGAACCGGAGGAUAUGAAGUCUCUUCUAGUAGUGUGCGCAAACAGAACCGCACUCCCGGGGAGGUGCGCGAGAUGAACGUGUCACUUAUAUCGGUAUUGUUACCGACACAGGAUGAGAUCACGCGGGGGAACGACACGGAUAGAGAUAAUACUGUGUGCCACCCCCAAGACACCAGCCAAUCACAGCAGCUCCAGUGCCGGCAAAAGGUAUUGAUACACCUUGACUGGAUUUUCUCACCCAUCUACACACAAAACCCCAUGGUGAAAAAGUGAAAACAAGUUUUUAGAAAUGUUUGCAAAUUUCUUGAAAAUUAAAUAGAGCAAUAUCUCAUUUACAUAAGUAUUCACACACCUGAGUCAAUACUUUGUAGAAGCACUUUUGGCAGCAAUUACAGCUGUGAGUCUUUCUGGGUAAGUAUCUAAGAGCUUUCCACACCGGGAUUGUGUAACAUUUGUCCAUUAUUCUUUUCAAAAUUCUUCAAGCUCUGUCAAAUUGGAUGUUGAGCAUCGCUAGACAACCAUUUCUAGGUCUUGUAACUUGGUCUCUCAGGAACAUUCACUGUAAUAUAUGCCAUUUAGCAGACACUUUUCUUAUUUGUAAUACCCUCUUUGGGCUAGGUGGGACGCUCGUGACCCACCUUGAUAACAUCUGAUGAAAUUGGAGAGCGCAAAAUUCAAAAUACAAAAAUCGUAAUAUUAAACAUUCAUGGAAACACAAGUGUCUUACAUCGUUUAAAAGCUUAACUUCUUGUUAAUCCAGCGACUUUGUCAGAUUUCAAAAAGGCUUAACGGCAAAAGCAGACCAUGUCAUUAUCUGAGGACAGCGCCGCGCGUACACCAGCAUUAAAAACGUUUUCCGAACCAGCAGAGGCGUCACAAAAAUCAGAAAUAGCGAUAAAAUAAAUCACUAACUUUUGAAGAUCUUUCUCUGUUUGCAAUCCCAAGGGUCCCAGCUACACAACAAAUGUUUGUUUUGUUUAAUAAAGUCCUUUAAAACCCACCAAAAGACAGUUUAUUUGGGGUAUUUGAAUUCAGUAAUCCACCCAUUCCACACGUUCAACAUGCAAACAAAGGAAUCUGAAAAGUUACCAAUAAACUUUGUCCAAACAAGUCAAACAAUGUUUCUAAUCAAUCCUCAGGUACCCUAAUACAGUGUAAAUAAUAUGUAAAUAAGAUGUAAAUAAUAUGUAAAUAAAUGAUAUAAUUUAAGACGGAAUCUAGCAUGUUCAAUACCAGAUAUUAAUAACGAGGUGCACGCCCUCAUCCACGCCCUCAUCCACGCCCUCAUCCACGCCCUCAUCCACGCCCUCAUCCACGAGCGCCACAAGACUACAGUCCAAAUGAGAGCCACCUUGAAAAACUACAACUACUAAUUACUUUUUCAACAAACAAGCCUGAAACCCUUUCUAAAGACUGUUGACAUCUAGUGGAAGCAAUGGGAACUGCAAUCUGGGAGGAAUUCCUCUGAAUAUCCCAUAGACAAGCAUUUGAAUGGACUGUGACCUAAAAACAAUAAUCUGGAUGGAUUUUCCCCGGGUUUUCAACUGCCAUAUCAGUUCUGUUAUACUUACAGACAUUAUUCAGAGUGAUUUCUGACCAAUGCUACCAAUUAUAUGCACAUCCUAGCUUCUGGGCCUGAGUAACAGGCAGUUAACUUUUGGCACAUCAGUCAUCCGAACUUCUGAAUACUGCCCCCUAGCCUUAAGAAGCAGUAUAGAUUUGAGCUGUUGUUUUAGGUUAUUCUCCUGCUGAAAGGUGAAUUCAUCUCCCAGUGUCUGUUGGACAGCAGACUGAACCAGGUUUUCUUUUAGAAUUUUUCCUGUGCUCUAUUCCAUUUUUUUUCUUCUGAAAAACUCACCAGUCUUUAACGAUUGCAAGGAUAUUCAUUACAUGAUGAAGUCUGAGUGGUCCUCCCCUAAACAUAACACUUUGUAUUCAGGACAUAAAGUGAAUUGCUUUGCCACAUUUUUUUGCAGUAUUACUUUAGUGCCUUGUUGCAAACAGGAUGCAUGUUUUGGAAUAGUUUUAUUAUGUACAGGCUUCCUUCUUUUCACUGUCAAUUAGGUUAGUGUUGUGAAGUUACUACUGUUCAUCCCUCCUCAGUUUUUUUCCAACACUGGCCAAUAAACACUGUAACUGUUUUAAAUCAUCAUUGGCCUCAUGGUGAAAUCCUUGAGUGUUUCCUUCCUCUCUGGCAACUGAGUUAGGAAUGACGCCUGUAUCUUUGUAGUGACUGGGUGCAUUGAUACACCAUCCAAAGUGUAAUUAAUAACUUCGUGCUCAAAGGGAUAUUCAAUGUCUGCUAUUUUUAUCUACCAAUGGGUGCCCUUAUUUGUGAGACGUUGGAAAAUGUCCCUGCUUUGUGUGGUUGAAUCCGUGUUUGAAAUGCACUGCUCGACUGAGGGACCUAACAGAUCAUUGUAUGUGUGGGGUACUGAGAUGUGGUAGGUAGCCUAGUGGUUUGAGCAUUGGAGCAGUAACCGAAAGGUUGCUGGAUUGAAUUCCCGAGCUGACAAAGUAAAAAUCUGUCGUUCUGCCCCUGAACAAGGCAGUUAACCCACAGUUCCCCGGUAGGCCAUCAUUGUAAAUAACAAUGUGCUCAGGAUCUAUCCCUUUUUUUCAAUUUUUGCCUGAAAUGACAUACCCAAAUCCAACUGCCUGUUGCUCAGCCCCUGAAGCAAGGAUGUGCAUAUUAUUGGUAUCAUUUGAAAGGAAACACUUUGAAGUUUGUGGAAAUGUGAAAAGAAUGUAGGAGAAUAAAAGCAAAAGCAGGAAACAGGAAAACACUCAUCCAGAGGUGGCGCUCCUAGUGGCCGGGGACUUUAAUGCAGGAAAACACUCAUCCAGAGGUGGCGCUCCUAGUAGCCGGGGACUUUAAUGCAGGAAAACACUCAUCCAGAGGUGGCGCUCCUAGUAGCCGGGGACUUUAAUGCAGGAAAACACUCAUCCAGAGGUGGCGCUCCUAGUAGCCGGGGACUUUAAUGCAGGAAAACACUCAUCCAGAGGUGGCGCUCCUAGUAGCCGGGGACUUUAAUGCAGGAAAACACUCAUCCAGAGGUGGCGCUCCUAGUAGCCGGGGACUUUAAUGCAGGAAAACACUCAUCCAGAGGUGGCGCUUAUAGUAGCCGGGGACUUUAAUGCAGGAAAACACUCAUCCAGAGGUGGCGCUUAUAGUAGCCGGGGACUUUAAUGCAGGAAAACACUCAUCCAGAGGUGGCGCUCCUAGUAGCCGGGGACUUUAAUGCAGGAAAACACUCAUCCAGAGGUGGCGCUCCUAGUAGCCGGGGACUUUAAUGCAGGAAAACACUCAUCCAGAGGUGGCGCUCCUAGUAGCCGGGGACUUUAAUGCAGGAAAACACUCAUCCAGAGGUGGCGCUCCUAGUAGCCGGGGACUUUAAUGCAGGAAAACACUCAUCCAGAGGUGGCGCUCCUAGUAGCCGGGGACUUUAAUGCAGGAAAACACUCAUCCAGAGGUGGCGCUCCUAGUAGCCGGGGACUUUAAUGCAGGAAAACACUCAUCCAGAGGUGGCGCUCCUAGUAGCCGGGGACUUUAAUGCAGGAAAACACUCAUCCAGAGGUGGCGCUCCUAGUAGCCGGGGACUUUAAUGCAGGAAAACACUCAUCCAGAGGUGGCGCUUAUAGUAGCCGGGGACUUUAAUGCAGGAAAACACUCAUCCAGAGGUGGCGCUCCUAGUAGCCGGGGACUUUAAUGCAGGAAAACACUCAUCCAGAGGUGGCGCUCCUAGUAGCCGGGGACUUUAAUGCAGGGAAACACUCAUCCAGAGGUGGCGCUCCUAGUGGCCGGGGACUUUAAUGCAGGGAAACACUCAUCCAGAGGUGGCGCUCCUAGUGGCCGGGGACUUUAAUGCAGGGAAACACUCAUCCAGAGGUGGCGCUCCUAGUGGCCGGGGACUUUAAUGCAGGGAAACACUCAUCCAGAGGUGGCGCUCCUAGUGGCCGGGGACUUUAAUGCAGGGAAACUUAAAUCUAGUUUAUCAAAUUUCUAUCAGCAUGUUAAAUGUGCAACCAGAGGAGAAAAAAAACCUCUGAACCACCUUAACUCCACACACAGAGUACGUACAAAGCUCUCCCUCGCCCUCCAUUUUGCAAAUCUGAUCAUAAUUAUAUCCUCCUGAUUUCUUCUUAAAUAAAUUAAAGCAGGAAGCACCAGUGACGAGAUCAAUAAAGAAAGUGGUCAGAGGAAGCAGAUGCUAAACUACAGGACUGUUUUGCGGGCAGACUGGAAUAUGUUCCAGGAUUCCUCCAAUGGCAUUGAGGAGUACACCACAUCAGUCAUUGACUUCAUCAAUAAGUGCAUCGAUGACGUCAUCCCCACAGUGACAGGACAUACCCCAACCAGAAGUCAUGGAUUACAGGCAACAUCCGCACUGAGCUAAAUGCUAGAGCUGCUGCUUUCAAGGAGCGGGACUCUAACCCGGGAAGCUUAUAAGAAAUCACACUAUGCCCUCCGACGAAUCAUCAAACAGGCAAAGGGUCACUACAGGACUAAGAUCGAAUCAUACUACACCAGCUCUGACUCUCAUCGGAUGUGGCAGGGCUUGCAAACCAUUACUACAAAGGGAAGCACAGCCGAGAGCUGCCCAGUGACACGAGUCUACCCGAUGAGCUAAACUACUUAUAUGCUCGCUUUGAGGCAAAUAACACUGAAACAUGCAUGAGAACACCAACUGUUGUGGAAGACUGUGUGAUCAUGCUCUCCUUAGCCGAUUUGAGUAAGACCUUUAUACAGGUCAACAUUCACAAGGCCACGGGGCCAGACGGAUUACCAGGAUGUGUACUGUGAGUAUGCGCUGAACAACUGGCAAGUGUCUUCAAUGGCAUUUUCAACCUCUCCGUGUCCGAGUCUGUAAUACCAACAUGUUUAAAGGAGACCACCAUAGAGCCUGUGACCAAGAACACUAAGGUAACCUGCCGAAAUGACUACCGACCAGUAUCACUCACGUCUGUAGCCAUGAAGUGCUUUUAAAGGCUGGUCAUGGAUCACAUCAACACCAUUAUACCAGAAACCUUAGACCCAAUCCAAUUUGCAUUCCGCCCCAACAGACCCACAGUUGAUGCAAUCUCUUUUGCACUCCACACUGUCCUUUCACAGCUGGACAAAAGGAACACCUAUGUGAGAAUGCUAUCUAUUGACUACAGCUCAGUGUUCAACACCAUAGCACCCUCAAAGCUCAUCACUAAGCUAAGGACCCUGGGACUAAACACUUCCCUCUGUAACUAGAUCCUAGACUUCCUGACGGGCAGCACCCAGGUGGUAAGGGUAGGUAACAGCACAUCUGCCACGCUGAUCCUCAACACAGGGGCCCCUCAGAGGUGCGUGCUCAAUCCCCUCUUGCACUCCCUGUUCACUCACGACUGCACGGCCAGGCACAACUCCAACACCAUCACUAAGUUUGCCAAUGACAACAGUGGUAGGCCUGAUCACCGACAAUGACGAGACAGCCUAUAGGGAGGAGGUCAGAGACCUGGCCGUGUGGUGCCAGGUAAAUAACCUCUCCAUCAAUGUGAUCAAGACAAAUUAGAUGUUUGUGGACUACAGGAAAAAGAGGACAAAGCACUUCCCCAUUCUCAUCGACGGGGCUGCAGUGGAGCAGGUUGAGAGGUUCAAGUUCCUUGGUGUCCACAACACCAACAAACUAACAUGGUCUAUGCACACCAAGACCGUCGUGAAGCCGGCACGACAAAACCUAUUCCCCCUCAGGAGACUAAAAAGAUUUGACAUGGGUCCUCAGAUCCUCAAAAGGUUCUACAGCUGUACCAUUGAGAGCAUCCUGAUUGGUUGCAUCUCUGCCUGGCAACUGCUCGGUACUGCAUGGAACUACAGAGGGUAGUGCAUACGGCCCAGUACAUCACUGGGGCCAAGCUUCCUGCCAUCCAGUACUUCUAUACCAGGCGGUUCAGAGGACUCCCAGGGCUACCAUGGCUUCCAGGGCUACCAUGGCUCCCAGGGCUACCAUGGCUCCCAGGGCUACCAUGGCUCCCAGGGCUACCAUGGCUACCAGGGCUACCUUGCUCACAGGGCUACCUUGGCUACCUUGGCUCCAAGGGCUAACUUGGCUACCUUGGCUCCCAGGGCUAACUUGCUACCAGGGCUACCAGGGCUACCAGGUCUAUCAGGACUCCCAUGACUAUCAGGGCUACCGCUCAAUUCAUGCCAUUUCGAUCUACAGUGUCCACAGAUCAAUUUAUAAGCUAAAAUGUCAGUCGGAACCGAUAUCAGAACCAUGCAAAUCUUAACCCUAAUUUGCUCCAGUGUGCCGUACACUGAGUACUACUAUGGCUGACCCUGAGUACUACAAUGGCUGACCCUGAGUACUACAAUGGCUUACCCUGAGUACUACUAUGGCUGAACUUGUAAAACAACACAUUUCAUUAUCAGGUAUGUGUGGCAAUAAAUAGUUAGUGUUGCAACUAGAUUACUAGAACAUUAUCUAGCACAAACAUCUGUGCGUGCAUGCGUGCGUGCGUGCGUGCGUGCAUGCGUGCGUGCGUGUGCGUUUGUGUUACAGGGCAAAGUGUGUUUGGAUCCAGUGGUGUUGGCGUACAGUCAGACCAUGUACAUGGCUGGCCUUCUGCUGGGAUCUCUCUUCGGAGGAUCUCUCUCUGACAGGUACGGUAAGCGAGUGGUACUGCUGGUGUGUGUGUGUGUCCAUGCUGUGACUGCUGUGCUGCCGGCAGUCCUUCCUCACGCCAUCCUCUUCCUCACUCUGCGCUGUCUGGCCGGGGUCUCCUGCUGCUGUAUCAAUAUCUGCAGCUUCAGCCUGGGUGUGGAAUGGAGUCUUCCCAGGUAUCGUAUUUGGCCCCCGGCCCUCCUGUCCUUCUCCUUCAGCCUGGGUAUGAUGGCGUUGGCACCGCUGGCGUACCUUACACACACCUGGACACAGCUACACCUGGCACUGGCCGUACCACAGAUCCUCUGUCUGCCUCUCUACUACUCCAUUCCUGAGUCUCCUCACUGGUUGCUCCUGAAGAAGAGGCUGGACACUCUGGAGGAGUACAGGAGACACAGUCCUGAGGACAAACGCUGUUUAGACCUGCUGUUGGAGACAGAGGGGAAGGACCUGCAACAAGUCCCCUGGGACACAGACACACUGGAGACUGGCACACACAUAGCAAAGGCAGACACGCAAACCCAGGAGGGAAACACACUUUCCCACUGCGGACACAUGAGAAGUCCCACCAUUCUACUGCGCCUGGUCAUCAUGAGUUACAUUGGGUGGGUCAGUCUGUGUUGUUUUGGCUCUGUACUCCAGUGUUACAGGUUUUUCCAUUUAUAUUUUGAGGUAGAGCGUUAUCACGUAGGGCGGACCAAUCGGUGUCACCUCGUUAGUAAGUAGGUGUUACACCUGUGCCGGCUUGUCCAUCUCAUUAGUGGGAGGUGUAUCACCUGUGCCAGGUUA